GGGUUGUGAGGUUAAGCGACUAAGCGUACACGGUGGAUGCCCUGGCAGUCAGAGGCGAUGAAGGACGUGCUAAUCUGCGAAAAGCGUCGGUAAGGUGAUAUGAACCGUUAUAACCGGCGAUGUCCGAAUGGGGAAACCCAGUGCAAUUCGUUGCACUAUCGUUAACUGAAUACAUAGGUUAACGAGGCGAACCGGGGGAACUGAAACAUCUAAGUACCCCGAGGAAAAGAAAUCAACCGAGAUUCCCCCAGUAGCGGCGAGCGAACGGGGAGCAGCCCAGAGUCUGAAUCAGCUUGUGUGUUAGUGGAACGGUCUGGAAAGUCCGACGGUACAGGGUGAUAGUCCCGUACACCAAAAUGCACAGGUUGUGAACUCGAAGAGUAGGGCGGGACACGUGGUAUCCUGUCUGAAUAUGGGGGGACCAUCCUCCAAGGCUAAAUACUCCUGACUGACCGAUAGUGAACCAGUACCGUGAGGGAAAGGCGAAAAGAACCCCGGCGAGGGGAGUGAAAAAGAACCUGAAACCGUGUACGUACAAGCAGUGGGAGCACCUUCGGGUGUGACUGCGUACCUUUUGUAUAAUGGGUCAGCGACUUAUAUUCUGUAGCAAGGUUAACCGUAUAGGGGAGCCGCAGGGAAACCGAGUCUUAACUGGGCGUUAAGUUGCAGGGUAUAGACCCGAAACCCGGUGAUCUAGCCAUGGGCAGGUUGAAGGUUGGGUAACACUAACUGGAGGACCGAACCGACUAAUGUUGAAAAAUUAGCGGAUGACUUGUGGCUGGGGGUGAAAGGCCAAUCAAACCGGGAGAUAGCUGGUUCUCCCCGAAAGCUAUUUAGGUAGCGCCUCGUGAACUCAUCUUCGGGGGUAGAGCACUGUUUCGGCUAGGGGGUCAUCCCGACUUACCAACCCGAUGCAAACUACGAAUACCGAAGAAUGUUAUCACGGGAGACACACGGCGGGUGCUAACGUCCGUCGUGAAGAGGGAAACAACCCAGACCGCCAGCUAAGGUCCCAAAGUCAUGGUUAAGUGGGAAACGAUGUGGGAAGGCACAGACAGCCAGGAUGUUGGCUUAGAAGCAGCCAUCAUUUAAAGAAAGCGUAAUAGCUCACUGGUCGAGUCGGCCUGCGCGGAAGAUGUAACGGGGCUAAACCAUGCACCGAAGCUGCGGCAGCGACACUAUGUGUUGUUGGGUAGGGGAGCGUUCUGUAAGCCUGCGAAGGUGUGCUGUGAGGCAUGCUGGAGGUAUCAGAAGUGCGAAUGCUGACAUAAGUAACGAUAAAGCGGGUGAAAAGCCCGCUCGCCGGAAGACCAAGGGUUCCUGUCCAACGUUAAUCGGGGCAGGGUGAGUCGACCCCUAAGGCGAGGCCGAAAGGCGUAGUCGAUGGGAAACAGGUUAAUAUUCCUGUACUUGGUGUUACUGCGAAGGGGGGACGGAGAAGGCUAUGUUAGCCGGGCGACGGUUGUCCCGGUUUAAGCAUGUAGGCUGAUUGUCCAGGCAAAUCCGGAUAAUCAAGGCUGAGGUGUGAUGACGAGGCACUACGGUGCUGAAGUAACAAAUGCCCUGCUUCCAGGAAAAGCCUCUAAGCAUCAGGUAACAUUAAAUCGUACCCCAAACCGACACAGGUGGUCAGGUAGAGAAUACCAAGGCGCUUGAGAGAACUCGGGUGAAGGAACUAGGCAAAAUGGUGCCGUAACUUCGGGAGAAGGCACGCUGGUGUGUAGGUGAAGUCCCUGCGGAUGGAGCUGAGACCAGUCGAAGAUACCAGCUGGCUGCAACUGUUUAUUAAAAACACAGCACUGUGCAAACACGAAAGUGGACGUAUACGGUGUGACGCCUGCCCGGUGCCGGAAGGUUAAUUGAUGGGGUUAUCCGUAAGGAGAAGCUCUUGAUCGAAGCCCCGGUAAACGGCGGCCGUAACUAUAACGGUCCUAAGGUAGCGAAAUUCCUUGUCGGGUAAGUUCCGACCUGCACGAAUGGCGUAAUGAUGGCCAGGCUGUCUCCACCCGAGACUCAGUGAAAUUGAACUCGCUGUGAAGAUGCAGUGUACCCGCGGCAAGACGGAAAGACCCCGUGAACCUUUACUAUAGCUUGACACUGAACAUUGAGCCUUGAUGUGUAGGAUAGGUGGGAGGCUUUGAAGCGUGGACGCCAGUCUGCGUGGAGCCAACCUUGAAAUACCACCCUUUAAUGUUUGAUGUUCUAACGUUGGCCCCUUACCGGGGUUGCGGACAGUGUCUGGUGGGUAGUUUGACUGGGGCGGUCUCCUCCCAAAGCGUAACGGAGGAGCACGAAGGUUAGCUAAUCCUGGUCGGACAUCAGGAGGUUAGUGCAAUGGCAUAAGCUAGCUUGACUGCGAGCGUGACGGCGCGAGCAGGUGCGAAAGCAGGUCAUAGUGAUCCGGUGGUUCUGAAUGGAAGGGCCAUCGCUCAACGGAUAAAAGGUACUCCGGGGAUAACAGGCUGAUACCGCCCAAGAGUUCAUAUCGACGGCGGUGUUUGGCACCUCGAUGUCGGCUCAUCACAUCCUGGGGCUGAAGUAGGUCCCAAGGGUAUGGCUGUUCGCCAUUUAAAGUGGUACGCGAGCUGGGUUUAGAACGUCGUGAGACAGUUCGGUCCCUAUCUGCCGUGGGCGCUGGAGAAUUGAGGGGGGCUGCUCCUAGUACGAGAGGACCGGAGUGGACGCAUCACUGGUGUUCGGGUUGUCAUGCCAAUGGCACUGCCCGGUAGCUAAAUGCGGAAGAGAUAAGUGCUGAAAGCAUCUAAGCACGAAACUUGCCCCGAGAUGAGUUCUCCCUGAGACUUUAAGUCUCCUGAAGGAACGUUGAAGACGACGACGUUGAUAGGCCGGGUGUGUAAGCGCAGCGAUGCGUUGAGCUAACCGGUACUAAUGAACCGUGAGGCUUAACCUUACAACGCCGAAG
RNAcentral lists this ribosomal RNA (2923 nucleotides) under Klebsiella pneumoniae subsp. pneumoniae. RNAcentral's name for it is "23S ribosomal RNA". It matches the Rfam family "Bacterial large subunit ribosomal RNA". The record is from RNAcentral. Lineage: Bacteria; Pseudomonadati; Pseudomonadota; Gammaproteobacteria; Enterobacterales; Enterobacteriaceae.